UGACGGCCUAAUCGAAGCAGACUAACAACGACUUGCUACGUGUUAUCUGUCAAUAUUUUGGCCAAAAGCAAUUUUCCGUCGACGGUCAUUGAAAACCUUUGUGGUUCUUUAAUAACAUAAUUGACGGAGCACAGAU
Molecule: small nucleolar RNA, 136 nt
Organism: Malaya genurostris
Lineage: Eukaryota; Metazoa; Arthropoda; Insecta; Diptera; Culicidae
Source: RefSeq, a predicted model, not a curated record